GUGCCAGCAGCCGCGGUAAUACGGAGGGUGCAAGCGUUGUUCGGAAUUAUUGGGCGUAAAGAGCGUGUAGGCGGCCAUGUAAGUCUGGUGUGAAAGCCCGGGGCUUAACCCCGGAAGUGCACUGGAUACUAUGUGGCUAGAGGGUAAGAGAGGAAAGCGGAAUUCCUGGUGUAGGGGUGAAAUCCGUAGAUAUCAGGAGGAACACCGAUGGCGAAGGCAGCUUUCUGGCUUACAUCUGACGCUGAGACGCGAAAGCGUGGGUAGCAAACAGGAUUAGAAACCCUAGUAGUCC
Molecule: ribosomal RNA, 292 nt
Filed under: uncultured bacterium
Lineage: Bacteria
Description: partial 16S ribosomal RNA
Rfam family: Bacterial small subunit ribosomal RNA
Source: RNAcentral